UCUUAUUUUAUGGCUUUAAAGACUUAUUUCUAUUUUACAUUUAUUACUAUUUGUAUUGCCAGAAUUUUCUUUUAUUUGCAUUUUAUUGGUGUCCCUUCAAACCACACAUGCUGUAUUUUGAUUUAUGUGUCACACAUUUGGAGAUUUGCCUUCCAUAAUCAAUACAUGGUUGGACUUUUUUUUUUGUAUAUUCUCAUGAUUUCUAAAAAAAAAUCUAGCCUAAGAUUUUUGUUUGCCAAGACAAAAAAUUGAGCCUACAGGUCAAGAUUUCAGAUGGAGUGUGUCUACCAACAUUUUCCCCUAAAUGUCUCUGCAGUAUUAGAAUAAAUAAUAGAAAUAUUAACAAACCCAAGAUGAGGCCAGAACAUGCCACUAUUGAUAGAACUAAAAAUUAGAGGAGACUUUGAUUGAGAUUUGACUAAAAAAUAAUUCAGGACAAAGAAUCUUUUGCCCAACCUUAUAAAAUUAAAGUUAUCUUUAAUUAUUUCUCCUAGAAACACACAUAAACUCCAAUCCUGCCACCAGUAUGCUAAAAUGAGUGGAAGUAAUUGUGAAACUUUAUUACUUAUCAUUUUAAAAAUUCUCAUGUAUUAUAAAAUAUAUGUGUUUGGAACUUUUCCCCUUCCCUGUGUUUAUACAAAAACCUGCCUUAGGGAGAAUUGCUUGAACCCGGGGGACGGAGGUUGCAGUGAGCAGAGAUCACGCCACUUCACCCCAGCCUGGGCAAAAGAGUGAAAUUCUAUCUCAAAAAAAAAUAAAGGAAAAAGAAAAAGAAAAAAGGAAGGAAGGAAGAAAGGAAGGAAGGAAAAAGAAAGAAAGAAAAGAAAGAAAGAAAGAAAAGAAAGAAAGAAAGAAAGAAAGAAAGAAAGAAAGAAGAAAGAAAGAAGAAAGAAAGAAAGAAAGAAAGAAAGAAAGAAAGAAAGAAAGAAAGAAAGAAAGAAAGAAAGAAAGAAGAAAGAAAAAGAAAGAAAAAAGAAAAAGAAAGAAAGCCUGCCUUUGGAAAUAUUUAGUACCAGAAUGAAGCCCUCACUAUAUAUCAGAAUAAUUUCACUGGAAGAUAAAGACAGAAUAGUGCCAGCCUCUGCACUUGCCUGGUUUUAUGAUCCAAAGACUGGUUUAGGAGUAUCUCAUUGGUGAAGCAGAAAGUCACUUGCCUGUACUGUAGCUGCAAGGGAGGCUGAGAAACCUUGGUCCAAUGGCUGGUAUAUUAAAAAGAGAAGACAGGGAGAUUAUAAGCACAAGACAGAAGGCCGUGUGAAGCUGGAGGCAGAGACUGGAGUUACGCUGCCAUAAACCAAGAAAUGCUGGAAGCUACCAGCAGCUGGAAGAGGCCAGGAUUCUCCCCUAGAGACUUUGGAACGAACAUGGCUACGCCAGCACCUUUGUUUCAAACAUCUGGGCUCCAGAAGU
Long non-coding RNA from Symphalangus syndactylus (siamang), 1410 nucleotides. RefSeq lists it as uncharacterized. Lineage: Eukaryota; Metazoa; Chordata; Mammalia; Primates; Hylobatidae. The record is from RefSeq and is a predicted model, not a curated record.